CACGUAGGAGGCGAGCGUUGUCCGGAAUCAUUGGGCGUAAAGAGCGCGCAGGCGGCUUGACAAGUCGGGUGUGAAAUCCCGGGGCUCAACCCCGGGACUGCAUUCGAUACUGUCAGGCUAGAGGUAGGUAGGGGAGAUCGGAAUUCCUGGUGUAGCGGUGAAAUGCGCAGAUAUCAGGAGGAACACCGGUGGCGAAGGCGGAUCUCUGGGCCGUAACUGACGCUGAGGAGCGAAAGCAUGGGGAGCGAACAGG
RNAcentral lists this ribosomal RNA (253 nucleotides) under uncultured bacterium. Its description in RNAcentral is "partial 16S ribosomal RNA". It matches the Rfam family "Bacterial small subunit ribosomal RNA", at positions 524 to 776 of the family's 1533-position model. The record is from RNAcentral.